AAUGAGGAAUAAAUGGGGACGGAUUUUUUUGGAGAAUUCAAGUGUUGGAACAAAUAUGUUCUUUUAUUGGUUAUUACAUGAUACUACUAGUAUUCAUUUGUUGAAAAAUUUCACAAAGCAUAUGUUGGACAUUGGUAACACAUAUUGCUGGGAAAUAUGGUAGCGCUUAGGAACAAUCUUUGUAGGUGUUUCAUGAGUGUCCCUUGCCGGCAUGAUGUGCUUGAACAUCUAUAAUCUUUAUAUCUAUUUUACAAUUUUUAUAACUAUUUAUAAAGUGGAUAGGGAUUUGAGGAUUUGGGCUGACCUAUUUUUCUUUCAUAAUUACCCUUUAACUACUUCUAUAUUUACUAAAAAGAUUAUAUCAAUAACUACUUUCACAAUAGAAAGAGAAGUAACAAAUACUUGACCAAUAACCAUCCCACGUGGUCUCUUCCUCCCUCUAUAGUCUUCUCUUUUCCAAUUCAUUUCUAGAAGACUCUUUCUUUCUUGAACCUCAUGCUCCUCAAACAAAUAUUUACUUUAUAGUGAUUGAUAUUCUUCGUAUCAUUAAUCAUGUAAAUAUUAUAUGUCACGUAAAGUCAGUUGCACCUUUAAAUUCACAACAAAUUGAUCAUCGAUUUCAUUCACAUUAACAAUGUUAAAGCACAUGAAAUUCAAGUACUCUAAUCUAUAAAUAUUUAUUUUAUUCAAUUAUAUUAAUUAUAUGUCACAUUUAAAAUAAAAUUAACUUACUAUAUAUAUACACAUAUAAAAUGUUAUUGUAUGGAUAAUAUAAAUUAAAAUUAAAUAAAAAUUCUGUUUAUAUUUUAACGCGUGAGUAUAUUUCAAAAACGAAUAAACCAAACAUAUGUUUAGACGCUAAUAAUAUUAAUAAUAAUAGAUGUAGUAAAUAAAAAUUGCAUAACAUGAAGGGUCAAUCCCUCCAUAGUUAAGUCGUAUUAUCUAUCAAAUAAAUAAUCAACUUCCACUCCGGUCAAUAAAAUUGCAUAACAUGAAGGGUCAAUCCCUCUAUAGUUAAGUCGUAUUAUCGACCAAAUAAAAAUCAACUUCCCCUCCGCCAGGGACAAUUUCAUAUCAGUUUUUAUUCUUUUAUAUAUUUUAUCUUUUAAAAUGAGAUCCUCCAAAUUUUUAAACCCUACACUAAAGAUAUGUUUGGAUUUGCCCCGGACCGGCCCAUUGAAUAGCAGAAGCAUUGGUUAUUUAUGACUAUACCUCCUUGAAAACCUUCUUCAAUACAAUACGAUUUGCAUACAUCUUGAAUGGAUUCACUACCUUCUGUUCCCACUACCAUCUCUGUA
RNAcentral lists this long non-coding RNA (1298 nucleotides) under Lathyrus oleraceus (garden pea). Its description in RNAcentral is "Pisum sativum (pea) long non-coding RNA (PSAT_LNC018047)". The record is from RNAcentral. Lineage: Eukaryota; Viridiplantae; Streptophyta; Magnoliopsida; Fabales; Fabaceae.